RNAcentral lists this ribosomal RNA (491 nucleotides) under uncultured bacterium. Its description in RNAcentral is "partial 16S ribosomal RNA". It matches the Rfam family "Bacterial small subunit ribosomal RNA", at positions 29 to 507 of the family's 1533-position model. The record is from RNAcentral.
GUGAACGCUGGCGGUAGGCCUAACACCUGCAAGUCGAACGGCAGCACAGUAAGAGCUUGCUCUUACGGGUGGCGAGUGGCGAACGGGUGAGGAAUACAUCGGAAUCUACUUUUUCGUGGGGGAUAACGUAGGGAAACUUACGCUAAUACCGCAUACGACCUACGGGUGAAAGCAGGGGAUCUUCGGACCUUGCGCGAUUGAAUGAGCCGAUGUCGGAUUAGCUAGUUGGCGGGGUAAAGGCCCACCAAGGCGACGAUCCGUAGCUGGUCUGAGAGGAUGAUCAGCCACACUGGAACUGAGACACGGUCCAGACUCCUACGGGAGGCAGCAGUGGGGAAUAUUGGACAAUGGGCGCAAGCCUGAUCCAGCCAUACCGCGUGGGUGAAGAAGGCCUUCGGGUUGUAAAGCCCUUUUGUUGGGAAAGAAAAGCAGCAGGUUAAUACCCCGCUGUUCUGACGGUACCCAAAGAAUAAGCACCGGCUAACUUCGUG